CUACGGGGGGCAGCAGUGGGGAAUAUUGCACAAUGGAGGAAACUCUGAUGCAGCAACGCCGCGUGGAGGAUGACACUUUUCGGAGCGUAAACUCCUUUUAUAUAGGAAGAAGAUGACGGUACUAUAUGAAUAAGCGCCGGCUAACUCCGUGCCAGCAGCCGCGGUAAUACGGAGGGCGCAAGCGUUACUCGGAAUCACUGGGCGUAAAGAGCGUGUAGGCGGAUUAAAAAGUCAGAAGUGAAAUCCUAUAGCUUAACUAUAGAACUGCUUCUGAAACUCUUAAUCUAGAAUAUGGGAGAGGUAGAUGGAAUUUCUGGUGUAGGGGUAAAAUCCGUAGAGAUCAGAAGGAAUACCGAUUGCGAAGGCGAUCUACUAGAACAUUAUUGACGCUGAGACGCGAAAGCGUGGGGAGCAAACAGGAUUAGAUACCCUGGUAGUC
This 439-nucleotide ribosomal RNA is filed under the name uncultured bacterium. Its description in RNAcentral is "partial 16S ribosomal RNA". It matches the Rfam family "Bacterial small subunit ribosomal RNA", at positions 339 to 795 of the family's 1533-position model. The record is from RNAcentral.